RNAcentral lists this ribosomal RNA (494 nucleotides) under uncultured bacterium. Its description in RNAcentral is "partial 16S ribosomal RNA". It matches the Rfam family "Bacterial small subunit ribosomal RNA", at positions 28 to 507 of the family's 1533-position model. The record is from RNAcentral.
GACGAACGCUGGCGGCGCGCUUAACACAUGCAAGUCGAACGGAAAGGCCUGCUUUCCCUUGUGGAUUGCGGGUACUCGAGUGGCGAACGGGUGAGUAACACGUGAGUGAUCUGCCCCCAACUUGGGUAUAAGCCUGGGAAACUGGGUCUAAUUCCCGAUAGGACUGCAGGGUGGUGCCUGUGGUGGAAAACGAUUUUCUAGUGGUUGGGGAUGAGCUCGCGGCCUAUCAGCUUGUUGGUGGGGUAAUGGCCUACCAAGGCGGCGACGGGUAGCCGGCCUGGGAGGGUGGAGGGGCACAUUGGGACUGAGAAUCCGCCCAGACUCCUACCGGAGGCAGCAGUGGGGGAUAUUGCCACAUGGGCGGAAGCCUGAUGCAGCGACGGCGCGGGGGGGAUGACGGCCUUCGGGUUGUAAACUCCUUUCGACCGCGAGGAAGCCACCUGGUUGGAAGGGUGGUGACGGUAGUGGUAGAAGAAGCACCGGCUAACUACGUG